This 253-nucleotide unclassified non-coding RNA is filed under the name uncultured Planctomycetales bacterium. Its description in RNAcentral is "contains 16S-23S intergenic spacer region". It matches the Rfam family "Bacterial small subunit ribosomal RNA", at positions 524 to 776 of the family's 1533-position model. The record is from RNAcentral. Lineage: Bacteria; Pseudomonadati; Planctomycetota; Planctomycetia; Planctomycetales.
CACGUACUGUGCGAACGUUAUUCGGAAUCACUGGGCUUAAAGGGUGCGUAGGCGGACAUGCAGGUCAGAUGUGAAAUCCCACGGCUCAACCGUGGAACGGCAUUUGAAACCGUGUGUCUUGAGCAAGCUAGGGGUAUGCGGAACUUCCAGUGGAGCGGUGAAAUGUGUUGAUAUUGGAAGGAACACCGAUGGCGAAAGCAGCAUACUGGGGCUUGACUGACGCUGAGGCACGAAAGCUAGGGGAGCGAACAGG